Molecule: ribosomal RNA, 1496 nt
Filed under: uncultured bacterium
Lineage: Bacteria
Description: bacterial SSU rRNA
Rfam family: Bacterial small subunit ribosomal RNA
Source: RNAcentral
AGAGUUUGAUCCUGGCUCAGGAUGAACGCUAGCGACAGGCUUAACACAUGCAAGUCGAGGGGCAGCGGGGGAGCGGCAACGCUCCCGCCGGCGACCGGCGCACGGGUGAGUAACACGUAUGCAACCUGCCCCGCGGAGGGGGACAAGCGGGGGAAACCCCGUCUAAUACCGCAUAUACCGGGUCCCCGGCAUCGGGGGCCCGGGAAAGGAGCGAUCCGCCGCGGGAUGGGCAUGCGGCGCAUUAGCUAGUCGGCGGGGUGACGGCCCACCGAGGCGACGAUGCGUAGGGGUUCUGAGAGGAAGGCCCCCCACACUGGUACUGAGACACGGACCAGACUCCUACGGGAGGCAGCAGUGAGGAAUAUUGGUCAAUGGGCGGUAGCCUGAACCAGCCAAGUCGCGUGCGGGAGGAAGGCCCUACGGGUCGUAAACCGCUAUCGCCGGGGAGCAAGGGGCGCCAUGCGUGGCGCGGCGAGAGUACCCGGAGAAGAAGCAUCGGCUAACUCCGUGCCAGCAGCCGCGGUAAUACGGAGGAUGCGAGCGUUAUCCGGAUUCAUUGGGUUUAAAGGGUGCGCAGGCGGAGCGCCAAGUCGGCGGUAAAAUCGCGGGGCUCAACCCCGCCCGGCCGUCGAAACUGGCGCCCUUGAGUUGUCGAGAGGUAGGCGGAAUGCGCGGUGUAGCGGUGAAAUGCAUAGAUAUCGCGCAGAACCCCGAUUGCGAAAGCAGCCUACCGGCGGCAAACUGACGCUCAGGCACGAAAGCGCGGGUAUCGAACAGGAUUAGAUACCCUGGUAGUCCGCGCAGUAAACGAUGAGCGCUAGGUAUCCGGGGCGAACGGGCCCUGGGUGCCACAGCGAAAGCGUUAAGCGCUCCACCUGGGGAGUACGCCGGCAACGGUGAAACUCAAAGGAAUUGACGGGGGCCCGCACAAGCGGAGGAACAUGUGGUUUAAUUCGAUGAUACGCGAGGAACCUUACCCGGGCUCAAACGCCAUAAGACAGGCCGUGAAAGCGGCUCUCCCUCCGGGGCUUAUGGCGAGGUGCUGCAUGGUUGUCGUCAGCUCGUGCCGUGAGGUGUCGGCUUAAGUGCCAUAACGAGCGCAACCCCCACCGCCAGUUGCCAGCAGGUCAAGCUGGGGACUCUGGCGGGACUGCCGGCGCAAGCCGCGAGGAAGGCGGGGAUGACGUCAAAUCAGCACGGCCCUUACGUCCGGGGCCACACACGUGUUACAAUGGCCGGUACAGCGGGGCGCCACCUGGCGACAGGGAGCCGAACCCGAAAGCCGGUCCCAGUUCGGAUCGGAGUCUGCAACCCGACUCCGUGAAGCUGGAUUCGCUAGUAAUCGCGCAUCAGCCACGGCGCGGUGAAUACGUUCCCGGGCCUUGUACACACCGCCCGUCAAGCCAUGGGAGCCGGGGGUGCCUGAAGGCCGUGACCGCCACAGGAGCGGCCUAGGGUAAAACCGGUGACUGGGGCUAAGUCGUAACAAGGUAACC